RNAcentral lists this ribosomal RNA (893 nucleotides) under Ferdinandcohnia humi. RNAcentral's name for it is "bacterial SSU rRNA". It matches the Rfam family "Bacterial small subunit ribosomal RNA", at positions 61 to 935 of the family's 1533-position model. The record is from RNAcentral. Lineage: Bacteria; Bacillati; Bacillota; Bacilli; Caryophanales; Bacillaceae.
GUCGAGCGAACUUUUGGGAGCUUGCUCCCAAAAGUUAGCGGCGGACGGGUGAGUAACACGUGGGAACCUGCCUAUAAGACUGGGAUAACUUCGGGAAACCGGAGCUAAUACCGGAUAACAUAUGAGACCACAUGGUCUCAUAUUAAAAGAUGGCUUUUAGCUAUCACUUAUAGAUGGGCCCGCGGCGCAUUAGCUAGUUGGUGAGGUAAUGGCUCACCAAGGCGACGAUGCGUAGCCGACCUGAGAGGGUGAUCGGCCACACUGGGACUGAGACACGGCCCAGACUCCUACGGGAGGCAGCAGUAGGGAAUCUUCCGCAAUGGACGAAAGUCUGACGGAGCAACGCCGCGUGAGCGAAGAAGGUCUUCGGAUCGUAAAGCUCUGUUGUUAGGGAAGAACAAGUAUCGUUCGAAUAGGGCGGUACCUUGACGGUACCUAACCAGAAAGCCACGGCUAACUACGUGCCAGCAGCCGCGGUAAUACGUAGGUGGCAAGCGUUAUCCGGAAUUAUUGGGCGUAAAGCGCGCGCAGGCGGUCCUUUAAGUCUGAUGUGAAAGCCCACGGCUCAACCGUGGAGGGUCAUUGGAAACUGGGGGACUUGAGUGCAGAAGAGGAGAGCGGAAUUCCACGUGUAGCGGUGAAAUGCGUAGAGAUGUGGAGGAACACCAGUGGCGAAGGCGGCUCUCUGGUCUGUAACUGACGCUGAGGCGCGAAAGCGUGGGGAGCGAACAGGAUUAGAUACCCUGGUAGUCCACGCCGUAAACGAUGAGUGCUAAGUGUUAGAGGGUUUCCGCCCUUUAGUGCUGCAGCAAACGCAUUAAGCACUCCGCCUGGGGAGUACGGUCGCAAGACUGAAACUCAAAGGAAUUGACGGGGGCCCGCACAAGCGGUGG